Molecule: transfer RNA, 66 nt
Filed under: Macromia amphigena
Lineage: Eukaryota; Metazoa; Arthropoda; Insecta; Odonata; Macromiidae
Description: tRNA-Leu
Source: RNAcentral
AGCUCUAGAAUAUGCACUCAUCGCCCGUCGCUCUUAUUAUAAAAUAAGAUAAGUCGUAACAUAGUA